AGAGGUUGAUUCAGGCUCAGGACAAACGCAUGUCGCGUUACUUAGUCAUUCAAGUUCGAACGCGAAAGCCCUUUCGGGGGUGACUAGAGAGCGAACGGUGAAGUAACACGUGGGUACCAGCCCCUCGCAGAGGGAUAACCCAGAGGAAACCCCGCUAAUACACCGUACGCAUAGCCGGGGCGACAUGCUCCGACAAGGAAAAGGUAGCUUCGGACCAUCCGUCGAGGGAGGGACCCGCGGCCCAUUAGACUAGUUGGUGGGGUAACGGCCCACCAAGACGACGAUGAGUAGCUGGCCUGAGAGGGUGGUCAACCACACUGGGGAUGAGACACGGCCCAGACUCGUACGGGAGGCAGCACCCAGGAAUCUUGCGCAAUGGGCGAAAGCUUGACGCAGCAACGCCGCGUGGGCGAUGAAGGCCUUCGGGUCGUAAAGCCCUGUUUUCGGGGACGAAGGGUGAAGGGUUAAUAGCCCCUAGCCUGACGGUACCCGACGAGGAAGCCCCGGCUAAUUACGUGCCAGCAGCCGCGGUAAUACGUAGGGGGCGAGCGUUGUCCGGAAUCAUUGGGCGUAAAGAGCGUGUAGGCGGCCCGGUAAGUCUGCUGUGAAAACCCGGGGCUCAACCCCGGGCGUGCAGUGGAAACUGCCGGGCUAGAGGGCGGCAGAGGCGAGUGGAAUUCCCGGUGUAGCGGUGAAAUGCGCAGAUAUCGGGAGGAACCCCAGUAGCGAAGGCGGCUCGCUGGGCCGUUCCUGACGCUGAGACGCGAAAGCUAGGGGAGCGAACAGGAUUAGAUACCCUGGUAGUCCUAGCCGUAAACGAUGGGCACUAGGUGUGGGGGGAGUCGAAUCCCUCCGUGCCGCAGCCAACGCGUUAAGUGCCCCGCCUGGGGAGUACGGCCGCAAGGCUAAAACUCAAAUGAAUUGACGGGG
This 930-nucleotide ribosomal RNA is filed under the name uncultured Actinomycetes bacterium. RNAcentral describes it as "bacterial SSU rRNA". It matches the Rfam family "Bacterial small subunit ribosomal RNA", at positions 8 to 918 of the family's 1533-position model. Lineage: Bacteria; Bacillati; Actinomycetota; Actinomycetes. The record is from RNAcentral.